UUUGAGAACAAACUAAACAGAAAACUACAACCUCGUACCUAACUUGUCUUCUAUCUUGUUCCUCAACCUCCUUCCGGAGAAAAUCAAAGAUACUCUGAAAUUUUAGAUCUAUCAAUCCAGAGAUGGUUUUUGGGUCAUCAGAUCAGAUCAAAUCAAACUCCUGCAUAAAUUACUCAAGUGUAGGGGUCAAUCUCUACUCUGUUGCUGGAACUCAAUUCACAGAUAUGAUGAAGAGGUUGACAUUAUUGUGGCCGUCCAUGAGUUGUUUGCUGAAUGUGGAUGGGCUUUGCUGUGCUGGUAAAAUAGUGAAGGAGAGGAAGGAACAUUACUUGACUUAAACUAGCAACCAAAUUUCUUUUGCCCUUAGAUAUGAAACUGAAAUCAAGUUCGCAGUCACACUAUGAGUAAAGUGUUAUAGGAUUAUUUAAUCUUAAAAGAGUCUACCACCUAUAAUAAGUGAGUGAGAUUCAAAUACUUCGGCAGAUAUGUUGAGAGAAUUUCAGGAAGGAGAAGCUGACGAUAUUCGGUUCUUGACACUGGAGGAUCUUGCCAAUAUUUCCUUCAAGAAGGUCCUAAUUAUUAUGAGAAUGCUUUAGAUUGUUGUCUUCAAGCUAAAGAGAUAGAUAAUAAAGACUGUUGUUCGGUACCAACUAGGAGCACUAUCAUGUUCGGUGAGCUAGUUAAGUGUAUCACGCUGGGCAUUUGAGCAAGGGGUUUAAUGCAGCAUUAACAAUUGAACUUCAUGAAGCAAUUAUUGGAAGUCCUAAUCGCUAUUCGUGGUGAGGUUGCUUGUCUUUCUGUGGCAGAGUUGAUUCUGGGCCAGAAGUUGUACUGAAUCAAUAUGAUCUAGUAAAUGGAAAGCCGACUUCUAAACGAUCUAAGAUUCUUUACGAAAAUGCUGACGCUCAGGAAAGCAGUGGAGCACAAGCUUGUCAAACAUUCAGAAAACAGCAACGGGAUAAAUUUAAUAGAGGUAUGGAUACUGGAUUGAGUAUAAAGCCGUCUACCAGAUUAGAAAUUGUCCUGGGAUCCGCAGAAAGAGAAAACAUGUCUUAAGUUGAUGGUACCCCACGUCGAGGUAUAUUUGAGUUGGCACCGGAGGAAGCUGCUUGUACUGACAUUUGCAGCAAACAUGGCCGAAUAUACUAAAACAAAUAAAGCAUUUCGUCUGAAGCCCAAUCCAAAAUCACAUUCAGGCUUGGAUUCUGCUGAGCAGAAAGCAUAUGCAUAGCAAUGGCUAUUUAGGACUUCGUUUGCUUUAGCAGCUAUCAAUGAUGCAGAUUCUGCUGCUCAGUGGGAACCAUUAGCUCCAACUAAAGAAUCUCAG
Molecule: long non-coding RNA, 1327 nt
Organism: Papaver somniferum (opium poppy)
Lineage: Eukaryota; Viridiplantae; Streptophyta; Magnoliopsida; Ranunculales; Papaveraceae
Exons: 6
Source: RefSeq, a predicted model, not a curated record